Molecule: ribosomal RNA, 519 nt
Filed under: Fusarium equiseti
Lineage: Eukaryota; Fungi; Ascomycota; Sordariomycetes; Hypocreales; Nectriaceae
Description: eukaryotic LSU rRNA
Rfam family: 5.8S ribosomal RNA (bases 166-319)
Source: RNAcentral
UGCGGAGGGAUCAUUACCGAGUUUACAACUCCCAAACCCCUGUGAACAUACCUAUACGUUGCCUCGGCGGAUCAGCCCGCGCCCCGUAAAAAGGGACGGCCCGCCCGAGGACCCCUAAACUCUGUUUUUAGUGGAACUUCUGAGUAAAACAAACAAAUAAAUCAAAACUUUCAACAACGGAUCUCUUGGUUCUGGCAUCGAUGAAGAACGCAGCAAAAUGCGAUAAGUAAUGUGAAUUGCAGAAUUCAGUGAAUCAUCGAAUCUUUGAACGCACAUUGCGCCCGCCAGUAUUCUGGCGGGCAUGCCUGUUCGAGCGUCAUUUCAACCCUCAAGCUCAGCUUGGUGUUGGGACUCGCGGUAACCCGCGUUCCCCAAAUCGAUUGGCGGUCACGUCGAGCUUCCAUAGCGUAGUAAUCAUACACCUCGUUACUGGUAAUCGUCGCGGCCACGCCGUAAAACCCCAACUUCUGAAUGUUGACCUCGGAUCAGGUAGGAAUACCCGCUGAACUUAAGCAUAUC